CGGAUGGGUCGCGGCUGAAGCGGGUCUGCAGUAGAUAGUCUCCGGGACCGGGGCUGGGAGAGAUCCCUCGCCCCCCAACCCUGGCGCGGGGAGCCGGGAGGAGGCUCAGCUGCCUGCGGGCGACGACCGCAAGUUCCAAUCGAGCACUGGAAUUUGGGAUCACCUGAUGUCUGAAGGUGCCGGCGGGGGAGGAGAUGCAGUGACAUCCACAUCAAGCAAACACGCAGACUACGAUGUCUGAGCUCCUGAUACAGUGCGGGGAUUACCAACUGUUCCAGUUGUCAAACUUCUACCGGAAGAGACUGAAACCUGUGAUUGAAGAAGGAGUUGAAGGGCUCCGCUUGAUGUUGAGAGAUGAGCAACAUUUCAGUGGACAGGAACAUGAGCACAUCCACAUCCUCCCGAUAAGGGGGCGACCAGAAUUGAAUGCAAUGAUCGAGAUGCGGCUUCAGCAGAGUUUUAAAAAUCUGCAACAUAACUUCCUGAUUCCUGAAAAUGCC
Molecule: long non-coding RNA, 500 nt
Organism: Pristis pectinata (smalltooth sawfish)
Lineage: Eukaryota; Metazoa; Chordata; Chondrichthyes; Rhinopristiformes; Pristidae
Exons: 4
Source: RefSeq, a predicted model, not a curated record